GCGCGGCGGCCGGAGCCGAACGGUUCCGAACGGUUCCGAGCGGUUCCGAGCGGUUCCGAACGGACCCGAAGGGCUCCGAACCGGGGUGGGGGGGGGGGAGACCCCGAGCGGAGCCGAACCCGAGCGGGGGGGCCCGAACCGAACCGAACCCGAGCGGGGGGAGCCGAGCGGAGCCGAACCGAGCCGAACCGAGCCGAACCGAGCCGAGCGGAGCCGAAGGGAGGCGCCAUGGCCACCCCCACCGAGCCGGCCAUGGGAGAGGCUGCGCGGGCCCGGGAGCCCUUCCACUACGAUUACGAAUCGCUGCGGCUGGCGGGGCUGAUCCUGAGCAUCGUCAUGUUCGUGCUGGGGGUGCUGAUCGCCCUCAGUAAGAAAUUCAAGUGCAAAAAGGCCGAGCCCAGCGCCCCCGAGGCCGCCAAGAGCCCCCCUCCCGCGGCCUCGGCGUAGCCCCGCCCCCCCCGGAAUGAAGCCCCGCCCACGCGGAUGAAGCCCCGCCCACCCGGGCUAAGCCCCGCCCCCAGUGCAUGAAAAACCCCCCCAAAACCAAAAAUUUGGGGGGAAAUUUGGGGGACCCCCCCCCUGCACGGAGCCAAGGACCCCCAAAAACCCCAAAAAACCCCAAAAAACCCCAAAAAAACCCCAAAUUUUGGGGUCCCUCCCCCCCUUUGGAGCCCCCCAAAAAUCGGGGACCCCUCCCCCACCCCCCUCCAGCACUCGGGACCCCCCCAAAAAAAAAUUUGGGGGGACCCUCCCUCUAGAAAUGCACUUUCUCACCUGGGAGAGCCCCAAAAAUUUGGGGACCCCCCCCCAAAAAUGCACUUUGAGAUCGGGGACACCCCGAAAAUAAAUUGGGGACCCCCCCCCAAAAAAAAAAAAUAAAACCCGAAAUUCAGGGGAACCCCCCCCUCCCCAAAAAAUUGGGGACCCCAAAAAUUUUGGGGACCCCCCCCGGCCCAAACCUCCCCAA
Molecule: long non-coding RNA, 967 nt
Organism: Haemorhous mexicanus (house finch)
Lineage: Eukaryota; Metazoa; Chordata; Aves; Passeriformes; Fringillidae
Exons: 6
Source: RefSeq, a predicted model, not a curated record